GUCACUAAAGUAGAAAGCUAGAAUUGUGACUGGUACGUUGUUGACUGACUCUGAAUCCUAUACUCCAGCAGCCUGGCAGGAGCCAUACUUCUCUAAGACCAGUUCCAGUCAACGAAGUCGGGACAUUAGGAGCACUCAUUGGUGUAUUGGCAGCUGCUCUAGUGGUGGUUGUCACUGGAUGGAUUGUGUCGUGUGUUUACUUUCAGAGAAAAAUAAACAAGCAAGGCAGUGACCACACCCACAGUACAUCUCCCAACAAUCCUGACCUUCAACACAAUCCAGCAUACACCCACACAACAGCUGUCUCUACGAGUGACCCCACCCUCCAACGUAAUCCAGUAUAUGAUUGGUCGACCACUGUCCCACACACACGGAACCAUCCUACGAGGUGGUCAGUGGUGGUGAGGGGGUGGGGCAUAGCUAUGAUGUCAUCAGUCCAAGAGGUGCUUGUAAUACAAGCAAUGAAAGAGGAUCACAUGAUUAAGCUUCAGAGGAAAACAAUGUAUUGGACCACACUAGCUAAAGGGUGAUACACAA
Halichondria panicea is the source of this 537-nucleotide long non-coding RNA. RefSeq lists it as uncharacterized. NCBI's taxonomy places the organism in Eukaryota, Metazoa, Porifera, Demospongiae, Suberitida, Halichondriidae. The record is from RefSeq and is a predicted model, not a curated record. The transcript is spliced from 3 exons.